This 497-nucleotide ribosomal RNA is filed under the name uncultured bacterium. RNAcentral's name for it is "partial 16S ribosomal RNA". It matches the Rfam family "Bacterial small subunit ribosomal RNA", at positions 28 to 507 of the family's 1533-position model. The record is from RNAcentral.
GAUGAACGCUGGCGGCGUGCCUAAUACAUGCAAGUCGAGCGAACAGAUGAGGAGCUUGCUCCUCUGACGUUAGCGGCGGACGGGUGAGUAACACGUGGAUAACCUACCUAUAAGACUGGGAUCACUUCGGGAAACCGGCGCUAAUACCGUAUAAUAUAUUGAACCGCAUGGUUCAAUAGUGAAAGACGGUUUUGCUGUCACUUAUAGAUGGAUCCGCGCCGCAUUAGCUAGUUGGUAAGGUAACGGCUUACCAAGGCAACGAUGCGUAGCCGACCUGAGAGGGUGAUCGGCCACACUGGAGCUGAGACACGGUCCAGACUCCUACGGGAGGCAGCAGUAGGGAAUCUUCCGCAAUGGGCGAAAGCCUGACGGAGCAACGCCGCGUGAGUGAUGAAGGUCUUCGGAUCGUAAAACUCUGUUAUUAGGGAAGAACAAAUGUGUAAGUAACUAUGCACGUCUUGACGGUACCUAAUCAGAAAGCCACGGCUAACUACGUG